RNAcentral lists this ribosomal RNA (303 nucleotides) under uncultured bacterium. RNAcentral describes it as "partial 16S ribosomal RNA". It matches the Rfam family "Bacterial small subunit ribosomal RNA", at positions 507 to 808 of the family's 1533-position model. The record is from RNAcentral.
AGCAGUAGCCGCGGGAAUACGUAGGUCCCGAGCGUUGUCCGGAUUUAUAGGGCGUAAAGCGAGCGCAGGCGGUUAGAUAAGUCUGAAGUUAAAGGCUGUGGCUUAACCAUAGUACGCUUUGGAAACUGUUUAACUUGAGUGCAAGAGGGGAGAGUGGAAUUCCAUGUGUAGCGGUGAAAUGCGUAGAUAUAUGGAGGAACACCGGUGGCGAAAGCGGCUCUCUGGCUUGUAACUGACGCUGAGGCUCGAAAGCGUGGGGCGCAAACAGGAUUAGAUACCCCGGUAGUCCCUGUCUCUUAUACC